RNAcentral lists this ribosomal RNA (252 nucleotides) under uncultured bacterium. Its description in RNAcentral is "partial 16S ribosomal RNA". It matches the Rfam family "Bacterial small subunit ribosomal RNA", at positions 524 to 776 of the family's 1533-position model. The record is from RNAcentral.
UACGUAGGGUGCAAGCGUUAAUCGGAAUUACUGGGCGUAAAGCGUGCGCAGGCGGUUGUGCAAGACCGAUGUGAAAUCCCCGGGCUUAACCUGGGAAUGGCAUUGGUGACUGCACGGCUAGAGUGUGUCAGAGGGGGUAGAAUUCCACGUGUAGCAGUGAAAUGCGUAGAGAUGUGGAGGAAUACCGAUGGCGAAGGCAGCCCCCUGGGAUAACACUGACGCUCAUGCACGAAAGCGUGGGGAGCAAACAGG